GACGAGAAGCUUGCUUCUCUGAUGUUAGCGGCGGACGGGUGAGUAACACGUGGAUAACCUACCUAUAAGACUGGGAUAACUUCGGGAAACCGGAGCUAAUACCGGAUAAUAUUUUGAACCGCAUGGUUCAAAAGUGAAAGACGGUCUUGCUGUCACUUAUAGAUGGAUCCGCGCUGCAUUAGCUAGUUGGUAAGGUAACGGCUUACCAAGGCAACGAUGCAUAGCCGACCUGAGAGGGUGAUCGGCCACACUGGAACUGAGACACGGUCCAGACUCCUACGGGAGGCAGCAGUAGGGAAUCUUCCGCAAUGGGCGAAAGCCUGACGGAGCAACGCCGCGUGAGUGAUGAAGGUCUUCGGAUCGUAAAACUCUGUUAUUAGGGAAGAACAUAUGUGUAAGUAACUGUGCACAUCUUGACGGUACCUAAUCAGAAAGCCACGGCUAACUACGUGCCAGCAGCCGCGGUAAUACGUAGGUGGCAAGCGUUAUCCGGAAUUAUUGGGCGUAAAGCGCGCGUAGGCGGUUUUUUAAGUCUGAUGUGAAAGCCCACGGCUCAACCGUGGAGGGUCAUUGGAAACUGGAAAACUUGAGUGCAGAAGAGGAAAGUGGAAUUCCAUGUGUAGCGGUGAAAUGCGCAGAGAUAUGGAGGAACACCAGUGGCGAAGGCGACUUUCUGGUCUGUAACUGACGCUGAUGUGCGAAAGCGUGGGGAUCAAACAGGAUUAGAUACCCUGGUAGUCCACGCCGUAAACGAUGAGUGCUAAGUGUUAGGGGGUUUCCGCCCCUUAGUGCUGCAGCUAACGCAUUAAGCACUCCGCCUGGGGAGUACGACCGCAAGGUUGAAACUCAAAGGAAUUGACGGGGACCCGCACAAGCGGUGGAGCAUGUGGUUUAAUUCGAAGCAACGCGAAGAACCUUACCAAAUCUUGACAUCCUUUGACAACUCUAGAGAUAGAGCUUUCCCCUUCGGGGGACAAAGUGACAGGUGGUGCAUGGUUGUCGUCAGCUCGUGUCGUGAGAUGUUGGGUUAAGUCCCGCAACGAGCGCAACCCUUAAGCUUAGUUGCCAUCAUUAAGUUGGGCACUCUAAGUUGACUGCCGGUGACAAACCGGAGGAAGGUGGGGAUGACGUCAAAUCAUCAUGCCCCUUAUGAUUUGGGCUACACACGUGCUACAAUGGACAAUACAAAGGGCAGCGAAACCGCGAGGUCAAGCAAAUCCCAUAAAGUUGUUCUCAGUUCGGAUUGUAGUCUGCAACUCGACUACAUGAAGCUGGAAUCGCUAGUAAUCGUAGAUCAGCAUGCUACGGUGAAUACGUUCCCGGGUCUUGUACACACCGCCCGUCACACCACGAGAGUUUGUAACACCCGAAGCCGGUGGAGUA
This 1383-nucleotide ribosomal RNA is filed under the name Staphylococcus aureus. Its description in RNAcentral is "bacterial SSU rRNA". It matches the Rfam family "Bacterial small subunit ribosomal RNA", at positions 69 to 1437 of the family's 1533-position model. The record is from RNAcentral. Lineage: Bacteria; Bacillati; Bacillota; Bacilli; Caryophanales; Staphylococcaceae.